RNAcentral lists this ribosomal RNA (253 nucleotides) under uncultured microorganism. Its description in RNAcentral is "partial 16S ribosomal RNA". It matches the Rfam family "Bacterial small subunit ribosomal RNA", at positions 524 to 776 of the family's 1533-position model. The record is from RNAcentral.
UACGUAGGGUGCGAGCGUUAAUCGGAUUUACUGGGCGUAAAGCGUGCGCAGGCGGCCCGUUAAGACAGGUGUGAAAUCCCUGGGCUCAACCUAGGAAUUGCACUUGUGACUGGAGGGCUCGAGUACGGUAGAGGGGGGUGGAAUUCCUGGUGUAGCAGUGAAAUGCGUAGAGAUCAGGAGGAACACCGAUGGCGAAGGCAGCCCCCUGGGCCUGUACUCACGCUCAUGCACGAAAGCGUGGGGAGCAAACAGG